Molecule: ribosomal RNA, 497 nt
Filed under: uncultured bacterium
Lineage: Bacteria
Description: partial 16S ribosomal RNA
Rfam family: Bacterial small subunit ribosomal RNA
Source: RNAcentral
GAUGAACGCUGGCGGCGUGCCUAAUACAUGCCAGUCGAGCGAACAGACGAGGAGCUUGCUCCUCUGACGUUAGCGGCGGACGGGUGAGUAACACGUGGAUAACCUACCUAUAAGACUGGGAUAACUUCGGGAAACCGGAGCUAAUACCGGAUAAUAUAUUGAACCGCAUGGUUCAAUAGUGAAAGACGGUUUUGCUGUCACUUAUAGAUGGAUCCGCGCCGCAUUAGCUAGUUGGUAGGGUAACGGCUUACCAAGGCGACGAUGCGUAGCCGACCUGAGAGGGUGAUCGGCCACACUGGAACUGAGACACGGUCCAGACUCCUACGGGAGGCAGCAGUAGGGAAUCUUCCGCAAUGGGCGAAAGCCUGACGGAGCAACGCCGCGUGAGUGAUGAAGGUCUUCGGAUCGUAAAACUCUGUUAUUAGGGAAGAACAAAUGUGUAAGUAACUAUGCACGUCUUGACGGUACCUAAUCAGAAAGCCACGGCUAACUACGUG